Molecule: long non-coding RNA, 610 nt
Filed under: Cyanistes caeruleus (blue tit)
Lineage: Eukaryota; Metazoa; Chordata; Aves; Passeriformes; Paridae
Description: lncRNA (ENSCCEG00000009641.1)
Source: RNAcentral
GAAAGGAAGUCCUCUUAUCAACAUUCUAUGUGAUACAUGAGGAUUGAGCUGAACAGAGAAGAGCCUUCUGCACCAACAAGAGACCAAAAUCGGAGUUUGGAUGCAAAACCUUUCAUGUCAAAGUUUCCAAGCCUAAGCACAAAGACAAUGCUCUUCAUCCAUCUCAACAAAUUUUCAUAAGGACUUGAUUGCCUUGUAACCAGCUUAGACUGAGAGAAGUAAAAAUCCUCUUGGGGAAUCAAGUCAUAUUAAAUCACAAUAUCCAGGGCCUGACAACAUUUACUAGCACCUCAUCAUAAAGAAAACAGCAGGUGCUACAAAAAUUUGCAACAAAAAACCAGUGCUGAGCGGGCUAACAAAAAAUCUGCAUCAAAGAUUGGAAGAUGGAGAAGACCAGAAUAAAGUCAGCAAAAAUUUCUGGAUUUGUGCACAAAUUAAAAUACCACAGCCUAUGUUAAAUGUGAGGGUCUCCUUUGUCUACCAAUGGCCACGGCAGAAGUGUGCCACAAGUGUGUGGAUGAGGGUGGCUCUCAGAAAUCUGCUCGCCCUGGGGACAUCUGGACAUCCUGCUCUGGCUCUGGGAGAACCAGUUCCACUGCCAGCCACGGCU